This 85-nucleotide microRNA precursor is filed under the name Choloepus hoffmanni (Hoffmann's two-fingered sloth). Its description in RNAcentral is "miRNA (ENSCHOG00000015507.1)". The record is from RNAcentral. Lineage: Eukaryota; Metazoa; Chordata; Mammalia; Pilosa; Megalonychidae.
ACAAUGCUGUGCACCUAGUAGGUGCUCAGUAAAUGUCUGAUGAGGUAUUGAGUCCAUAAGCCAAGACUAUCCAUCCUGCCAGUGC